GACAGAGCACGAGUGGAGGAUGGGCAGAGAGAGCAGGAAUCUGAUGCAAGCUCCAUGUUCCAAGCUCCAAACUGUCAGCACAGAGCCUGACAUGGGGCUCGAACCCACAAACCAUGAGAUCAUGACCUGAGCUGAAGUCAGACACUUAAGUGACUGAGCCACCCAGGCACACCUGCUUGGAAAUCUUCUAAUGAAAGGAAACCUAUAUUUCAAGCAUAAAACUCCAUCUACUGCUUUUCAUCAUGGUGUACUGAGAAGACCAGUUGGCAGGGAAAACCGUGGACUCACCCAAGCUCUGUCACGAGGCGUGCUGUCUUGACAGGCAUCACAAUCCCAGACUUCAAGCGAUACUACAAAGCUGUAACCAUCCAGACAGUAUGGUACUGGCACAAGAACAGACACUCAGAUCAAUGGAACAGAAUAGAGAACCCAGAAAUGGACCCACAAACGUAUGGCCAGCUAAUCUUUGACAAAGCAGGAAAGAAUAUCCAAUGGAAUAAAGACAGUCUCUUCAGCAAAUGGUGCUGGGAAAACUGGACAGCGACAUGCAGGAAAAUGAACUUGGACCACUUUCUUAUACCACACACAAAAAUAAACUCAAAAUAGAGGAAGCCAUCAAAAUCCUCAAGGAGAAAGCAGGCAAAACCUCUUUCAUCUUGGCCACAGCAACUUCUUACUCAACAUGUCUCCGGAGGCAAGGGAUACAAAAGCAAAAAUGAACUACUAGGACCUCAUCAAAAUAAAAAGCUUCUGCAUGGUGAAGGAAACAAUCAGCAAAACUAAAAGACAACCAACACAAUGGGAGAAGAUAUUUGUACAUGACAUAUCAGAUAAAGGGUUAGUAUCCAAAAUCUAUAAAGAACUUAUCAAACUCAACACCCAAAACACAAAUAACCUAGUGAAGAAAUGGGCAAAAGACAUGAAUAGACACUUCUCCAAAGAAGACAUCCAGGUGGCAACUGACACAUGAAAAAAUGCUCAACAUCACUCAUCAUCAGGGAAAUACAAAUCAAAACCACAAUGAGAUACCACCUUACACCUGUCAGAAUGGCUCACAUUAACAACUCAGGCAACAACAGAUGUUGGCGAGGAUGUGGAGAAAGAGGAUCUCUUUUGCAUUGUUGGUGGGAAUGCAAGCUGGUGCAGCCACUCUGGGAAACAGUAUGGAGGUUCCUCAAAAAGUUAAAAAUAGAACUACCCUAUGACCCAGCAAUUGCACUACUAGGCACUUAUCCAUGGGAUACAGGUGUGCUGUUUCGAAGGGACACAUGCACCCCCAUGUUUAUAGCAGCACUAUCAACAGUAGCCAAAGUAUGGAAAGAGCCCAAAUGUCCAUUGAUGGAUGAAUGGAUAAAGAAGAUAUGGUAUGUGUGUGUAUACACACACACACACACACACACACACACACACACAGUGGAGUAUUACUCAGCAAUGAAAAAGAAUGAAAUCUUGCCAUUUGCAACGACGUGGAUGGAACUGGAGGGUAUUAUGCUAAGUGAAAUUAGUCAGAGAAAGACAAAAAUCAUAUGACUUCACUCAUAUGAGGACUUUAAGAGACAAAACAGAUAAACAUAAGGGAAACAAAAAUAAUAUGAAAACAGGGAGGAGGACAACACAGAAGAGACUCAUAAAUAUGGAGAACAAACUGAGGGUUACUGGAGGGGUUGUGGGAAGGGGGAUGGGCUAAAUGGGUAAAGGGCACUAAGGGAUCUACUCCUGAAAUCAUUGUUGCACUAAAUGCUAACUAAUUUGAAUGUAAAUUUUAAAAAAAUUAAAAAAUUAAAUUAAAAAAAUAAAAUAAAUAAAUAAAAAGCUUUGUUGAGCACCCAAAUGAAUUAUAUCAAAUAGCUCACACUUUUCAUAGUUCUAUUUUAUCACCACACACAAUCAGAAAAGGUUACUAUGUAUACGCAUGUUUCUUAUGGAAGUAUAAUCAGAUGCUUUGGCCAAUGAUGUUAAACACACUUUGGGAGAUAUAUUACCUCAUUUAAUUCUCAAGACUAAAUAUAAGUAACAAUAUCUCCAUUUUCAAGUUUAAGAAAUAAAGGAUCAGGUAAUUUGAACUACUUGUUCAGAGUCACCCAGUUUUCAGUAGUGAUACUGAGAUUUGAACAAUUUCACUCCAAAGCCCAGGGUUCUCCUUUACCUUUUACUUUACUUUUCCGCCAUAAAUUAAGUAUCCUUAAACUUUUCCUUAAAUAUUUCUCAAAUUCCAUAACAUUGCUAUA
Long non-coding RNA from Acinonyx jubatus (cheetah), 2228 nucleotides. RefSeq lists it as uncharacterized. Lineage: Eukaryota; Metazoa; Chordata; Mammalia; Carnivora; Felidae. The transcript is spliced from 3 exons. The record is from RefSeq and is a predicted model, not a curated record.